AGCAAUCUACACACAUACACUCACACACCCCGUCCCUUUCCCUCCUCGCAGAAGCCGAGGAGAUGCCAUGUGAGGGUGCAGCGAGGAGUUGGGCUGUCUAAAAGCAAAGAAAGAGAUUGCAUCAGACACCGCAUCUGCUGACACCUUGUUCUUGGACUUCCAGCUUCCAAAACCGCGAGAAAUAAAUGUCUGUGUCUAAACCCCAACCCUACCACCUCAACUGCCGUGUGUGGUGUUUUGUGAUGGCAGCCCCAGCUGACUGAGACACCUGGUUAGACCGGAAUAAGCAGGCUGCAAUCGGUAGCAGUCACCAUUGAACAUCCUUGAAGCAAUUCUUCCAAAAUUACCUUGCAUCAAAGACUGCACAAGAACUGCUCUAAGCGGAAGGACUGAUGUCGGCAACCAGGGUUCCACCAGGGGCUGCAGACAGCCCUUGACCUUCAGGUGGGAAGGUGUCACUGAGUUCAGACCCUCUGGCAAUCCCUAGCUAUCAACAUUUUGAUAAGAAAAUAAGUGGAAAGGGCUAGUGUGAGCAUCCCUGUGCAAUGGCUUAUUGGGAAAUUGAUGUGCAUUGCACCGGAAGCAAUCUCCUCAUCUUCCUGCUUACUCAUCAGACUGAAAAAGGCAACACAGACUACCAUUCAUUGUGUGGCUACAAGGCACUAUGCAUUUUCAUACAAUAUAUCUAAAGCCCAUAAUACUCACCAAAAUAAACCAUUGCUGCCACAAUUUAA
This 734-nucleotide long non-coding RNA is filed under the name Homo sapiens (human). RNAcentral's name for it is "uncharacterized LOC102724087, transcript variant 17 (LOC102724087)". The record is from RNAcentral. Lineage: Eukaryota; Metazoa; Chordata; Mammalia; Primates; Hominidae.